RNAcentral lists this transfer RNA (82 nucleotides) under Deltaproteobacteria bacterium. RNAcentral describes it as "tRNA-Leu". It matches the Rfam family "tRNA". From Rfam's summary of the family: Transfer RNA (tRNA) molecules are approximately 80 nucleotides in length. Their secondary structure includes four short double-helical elements and three loops (D, anti-codon, and T loops). The record is from RNAcentral. Lineage: Bacteria; Pseudomonadati; Myxococcota; Myxococcia.
GCGAGAGUGGCGAAACUGGUAGACGCACCAGAUUUAGGUUCUGGCGCCGUUCGGCAUGGGGGUUCGAGUCCCCCCUCUCGCA